RNAcentral lists this ribosomal RNA (449 nucleotides) under uncultured bacterium. RNAcentral's name for it is "partial 16S ribosomal RNA". It matches the Rfam family "Bacterial small subunit ribosomal RNA", at positions 330 to 793 of the family's 1533-position model. The record is from RNAcentral.
CCCAGACUCCUACGGGAGGCAGCAGUGGGGGAUAUUGCACAAUGGGGGAAACCCUGAUGCAGCGACGCCGCGUGUGGGAAGACGGUCUUCUGGAUUGUAAACCACUGUCCCCAGGGACGAAAAUGACGGUACCUGGGGAGGAAGCUCCGGCUAACUACGUGCCAGCAGCCGCGGUAAUACGUAGGGGGCAAGCGUUAUCCGGAUUUACUGGGUGUAAAGGGAGCGUAGACGGCCAGACAAGUCUGAAGUGAAAAUCCAGCGCUUAACGUUGGAAGCGCUUUGGAAACUGCCGGGCUGGAGUGCAGGAGGGGCAGGCGGAAUUCCUAGUGUAGCGGUGAAAUGCGUAGAUAUUAGGAGGAACACCAGUGGCGAAGGCGGCCUGCUGGACUGCAACUGACGUUGAGGCUCGAAGGCGUGGGGAGCAAACAGGAUUAGAUACCCUAGUACUG